Andrographis paniculata is the source of this 3518-nucleotide long non-coding RNA. RefSeq lists it as uncharacterized. The transcript is spliced from 5 exons. The record is from RefSeq and is a predicted model, not a curated record. NCBI's taxonomy places the organism in Eukaryota, Viridiplantae, Streptophyta, Magnoliopsida, Lamiales, Acanthaceae.
CCAUUGUUCUUUUGUGGCAGAUAAAGCAUUAUUUAAAUCGCCUUUUUCUCUCUGGAUACACCGACUGUAUCAAUGGCGGCGCGGAGGUGCUUUCCGCGUUUAUCUGCUCAUUUUUGUAGCGGUGUUUGCCGACGUGAUUAUAUAAUCAGAUUUGGACUGGUCACUUUCUUGAUGUUCGUAUAGCGAUUAGCGUUGGAAGGUGUUUUGAUAGGAUGCGUUUGGAACUUUUCGUUGUGAACGGAAGUGGCGGAUUUCGGAUAUGUAUGCAUUUUUGUUGCGACGAGUUGGUGGCGUUGUUUGCCUACGUGAUUGUAUAAUCAGGUUUGGUCACAUCGAGAAUCUCGUGGAUUGUGUAUCUCGUUGUUCGCAUAUCGAUUAGCGAUUGAAGGUGAACUGGAGCGGCAGAUUUCGCCAAUGGUAGCUUGGCGUAGAUGGAUUAGAUGACGUACCAAAGUUAGGUUCAAUGGGCAACUCCGAAUUCUCAAAUCCCAUAGAUUUGUAUGCUGAUAUGCUCAAAGAGUUUUUGCGAUGCUUAUUUGUGAAAUAAUCUUGAGUUCACUGGCUGCAAAAUCAACAAGUCCCACGGUUAUAAUAAGAGCAAGGUUGAGCAUUGCCGACAUAGUGAAGUUUAGCAAAGUUUGGAAGGCCAUUGUGGCACUGGCAGGGAAUUCUUCAGUAAAGUUGAGGUGGUUGUGAUUUCAAUGCUCAAUGAUUAGGUAUUUUUGGCUAUUCAUUAAUACCUAUUUUUUGGCAUUGUUAAUUUUCUGGCCCGUUUUCCGAGUUCAUAGUUUUGUGGUUUUUUUUCAAGUCAGCAAAGUUAGACGGAGCAUAGAUUAAGCAGUGAACAAUAGUUUGCUAACUCACCAAAGUCACCAGAACCUUGUCAAAUAAACCUCUCUCAGUUGCUAGGUUUCAAAUUAUUCCUCAUCGGGUUUAGAGGAUUGCCAACUUGUUCUUUGAAUUUAGAGUGCUGACGGACCUAAUUCUAAAGGGCAUUAGGUUUUCCACAUUAGAACAAUUCCUUUAUAUUGAUCCUAACCCAACAAGAACAAAGCCUAAACUGGGAUCGUGAAAGCCUCUCGUUUUUUCCAACUUCAUAAUCUAGUACUUCCAAUUCGCUGGUUUUAUCCACAGCACAUUUUCCAUCUGGUCGAUGUGCUUUCUAUUUACCCUUUAUUCUGAAUCUUAUUUUUCAGUCCAAAACUGUCUGAGAUUAGAAUCCAGCAUCUUUGUUAAUUCUUCUUGUGAAAUACAGAGUAACACAUCUGCAGUACAAUAUCUAGGUUAUGAAUAUCCUUCUUCCCGUCUCUCUCUUAUAAUUAGAAACACUUCUUAUGUUCAAACUUCAAUCAUGGUUUGUAUAUUCACAACCAAAUACUAGUAUGCACACUUGCUCUCACAUUUGUUUAUUUGUGUAUUUAUAUAUAAUUUAUCCUACAAUUUGAUCAAUAGAUCUAUAUAUUAUCAUCUCAAUUCAAUCAUUGUUUGAUAGAAUAUGUACACACAAACAUAGAAAGCACACAGUUCAUGACUCCUUUCAGAAAUAACACAAUUUCUUUCACCCCCUCAGGACACAAACCAACACAAUAAUCUGUUUUUAAGUCGGUAUCUAGUGUUUCUUUACCACUCCUCAUAAAUGCUCCAUCCUUGAAGAUUAAUAGUCUUUGCUAAAGUAGUUGUAGGCUGCUGUAAAAAAGGAUUGUCCUUAGAAGAGCGGGGAAGAUGAGUAAAUCAUUUUGACGAACUUUUGAACUUAGAGAUGAUAAAUUCGUUACCCAAAUUUAGCUGGUGCUGGCAUGUUAUUAUUCUUUUCCUCCGGCUGGCAAAGCUGAAGACAGACAGGUGCAUUCGGAUCCUCGUUGAUGCUAAGGCUUGUAGUAAUAAAUGAAUUGCUGUCUGUUCCUGUCGUGUCACUUGUGCCGUAUAGCUGAAAUAUAAAGCAUUUUUAUAACGUGUCAUAGGUCUUCUUAUGCGUGAGUGUGUGCAUUUAUUUGGAUGAAUUAGGUUUACCCUUUUAUGCAGCUCCAAAUUUUCUUGCUGGAUCAAGUUUUUCUGUAACAAAAUCGCGAAGAAAAUUAGCUUGUCAUGUAGAGUAGUACCAUAUUUGGUUAAGCUUAAUGCAUGUAACUAACAAUCUUGUGCAACCUUUCGACUCAAUUCCUGUAUCUCAUCAGUGAAAACCUGGUCCUACAAAGAGUCGAAAUUAAUGUCAAUAAUUCAUUUAUACAUGAAUCCGAGAUUUAAUCUUGUUAUCAAAUUACUGUCGGAACCUUCCUCUUUCUGACACCCUGGAGACUAUUCUCCAAUUGGUUCUCCAGAUUCUGUAGUUCUGAGACAUUCAAACUGGUAAGCUCCUCACCCAUCAGAUGACUGCUAUGACGAUAAAUGCUAUUAGUAUCGUAUUAGGCAGGUAUUUGAAUACCACUUUAUGAUACUUCUGAGUUUCUACCCAAAAAGUUCAAAUGUAAAGUAACCGAAGAUCUAUUGUAUACAAGAUAUAUGUGUUCACAUAUAAAUACCGCAAAUUUAUUUACUACUGCAUAAUAUUAAAUUUAUUCACCAUCUAUAGAUAAUUCUUGUUGUGGAAAUUAGUACUUUUUCUUCUUUUUUUUGGUAUGACUUGAAUACCAAUUUAUUGCUUGUCGAAUCUUUAAAAACCCAAUUUAGUUCCUGUACGUAAACUUCAUUGGUAGUAAACAUUCAUGGUGAUAAUAAUGUUAUAGUCAUAGUCAUAGACUCAUAAAGCAUACAGUUGUUUGGAUAAUACUUGAGUUUAGGUUUAAGAAAAAAACCUCUGAACUCGUCGCAACAAGCAAAUGCAUUGAAAAAUCUUUUUCGCUAUUUCUUGUAGACAUAAACCUAAACUAUUAUAGAAAGACUUGUGGAAACGGGGCUUGCUGAACCCCAGCUUCGACUAGAGCUACUCCUUGAAAAGUUUAGUGACAAUUAGUCGCGAUGCAGCAAUUUUAAUUAGACUGAGGCUUGCCUAGGUUAAGUGAUUAUUCAAUUGUUACCUAUAUCUGAAUUCCAUGGUAACUAAUACUUCUUUGCAGAUAUAUUAUUGCAUUCAAACAUACAUACAGUCAAAAUCAAUACUAGAAAUAAGCUACGAAUGGUGUCUCGGUAUUUUAAGAACUUUUAUUUAGAUAAUGUAAUCCUCGUAAUGAAUUAAUCAAUACUCCAUCAAUAAAAGUUAAGAAUAUUUGACAUAUAAUUAGCUAUGGGGUUACUAUUUCCCGAUGCCUACAAUUAAAAGUCUCUUCAUCACAACUUAAGUCUCUUCAUCACAACUUCAUUGGCAAAUAUUUCAUACUUCAAAUUUCUACCAAUGUGAGAAAUAUAGAAAAAUAAAUCCUUAGAAUUGAAGAAGAGGAAGAAGUCAAAGUGGGGAAUUGCUUUGCUAUGUAUUCAACACAUCACAUUCACAUAAUGCCUUGGAGACAGGAAUCUAGAAUUGAGUCCCAUAAUGAUACAUUAUUUUCUUUCACAAAACAUUAUAUCAAAACUAAAACACACAA